CCUACGGGAGGCAGCAGUGGGGAAUAUUGCACAAUGGGCGCAAGCCUGAUGCAGCCAUGCCGCGUGUGUGAAGAAGGCCUUCGGGUUGUAAAGCACUUUCAGCGGGGAGGAAGGCGGUGAGGUUAAUAACCUCAUCGAUUGACGUUACCCGCAGAAGAAGCACCGGCUAACUCCGUGCCAGCGGCCGCGGUAAUACGGAGGGUGCAAGCGUUAAUCGGAAUUACUGGGCGUAAAGCGCACGCAGGCGGUCUGUCAAGUCGGAUGUGAAAUCCCCGGGCUCAACCUGGGAACUGCAUUCGAAACUGGCAGGCUAGAGUCUUGUAGAGGGGGGUAGAAUUCCAGGUGUAGCGGUGAAAUGCGUAGAGAUCUGGAGGAAUACCGGUGGCGAAGGCGGCCCCCUGGACAAAGACUGACGCUCAGGUGCGAAAGCGUGGGGAGCAAACAGGAUUAGAUACCCCGGUAGUC
This 465-nucleotide ribosomal RNA is filed under the name uncultured Klebsiella sp. RNAcentral's name for it is "bacterial SSU rRNA". It matches the Rfam family "Bacterial small subunit ribosomal RNA", at positions 338 to 795 of the family's 1533-position model. Lineage: Bacteria; Pseudomonadati; Pseudomonadota; Gammaproteobacteria; Enterobacterales; Enterobacteriaceae. The record is from RNAcentral.